GCUGUGAUGACCAAGUGGUUAAGGUGUUGGACUUGAAAUCCAAUAAGGUUCCUUUCCGCAGGUUCAAAUCCUGCUCACAACG
This is a non-coding RNA of Gopherus flavomarginatus (Mexican gopher tortoise), 82 nucleotides long. Lineage: Eukaryota; Metazoa; Chordata; Testudines; Testudinidae. The record is from the annotation of a RefSeq genome assembly.